AACAUGUAUUCUCCAUCUCCAGCUCCAGCGAGUUCAAGCAAACUUUUUGGGUUUUGAUUUUGCGGUGGUGGGGGACCGACUUAGAGGAGAGGCCACGGGUGGUGGGCGGCGUCCCAACGGUACAGUGAGGCGGAGAAUAGUGCCACUAGACGGUAAGAGUACGGGUCAUCCAUGAGAGGGUGGUGUCACAAACGCCGGAACGCAUCACGAACGAGAGCGAUUAGUGUAUGAGCAGCUGGAGACAAG
RNAcentral lists this long non-coding RNA (246 nucleotides) under Setaria italica (foxtail millet). RNAcentral describes it as "long non-coding RNA (SITA_LNC003653)". The record is from RNAcentral. Lineage: Eukaryota; Viridiplantae; Streptophyta; Magnoliopsida; Poales; Poaceae.